UACGUAGGGGGCAAGCGUUGUCCGGAUUUAUUGGGCGUAAAGAGCGUGUAGGCGGCCAGGUAGGUCAGCUGUGAAAACUCGAGGCUCAACCUCGAGACGCCGGUUGAAACCAUCUGGCUAGAGUCCGGAAGAGGAGAGUGGAAUUCCUGGUGUAGCGGUGAAAUGCGCAGAUAUCAGGAGGAACACCGGUGGCGAAGGCGGGUCUCUGGGCCGAUACUGACGCUGAGGAGCGAAAGCGUGGGGAGCGAACAGG
This 253-nucleotide ribosomal RNA is filed under the name uncultured bacterium. RNAcentral describes it as "partial 16S ribosomal RNA". It matches the Rfam family "Bacterial small subunit ribosomal RNA", at positions 524 to 776 of the family's 1533-position model. The record is from RNAcentral.